UCAGAAACGAUUUAACAGAUCGUGAUAAGUUGAGUAAGUAUUUGUAAAUACUUGUUUAUAUUUAUAUUCAUAGUUAAUGUUUACUUAAUUUAUUAUUUGCAUUGGUAAAAUUAGAAUCAUAUCUAAGUUAAUAGUGGCUCAAUUCAGGAGGGGGAACGUUAUAAUCCCCCCCCCUCGAAAUUAGACAUUUUCUUAUACGAAUUGAGCGUAUAUACGUGUAGUUGCAUAAUUUGUACAUUGCAAUUACAGAAAUUUCCUCGUAAUUUUGAAUAUAUUUAGAAGUUUACUAUUGCAAAAACCUGCUCAGAAAUUUGGUUGAAAUCCAUAAGUUUUCAUAAUUUGAGUAUAGCAUAUAUUAUGUACAUAUGGACGGAACCGGGACAUUAUGCCGAGUGAAAAUAAUAUCCUGAAAAAAAUUUAAAAAAAAUCCUAUGAUUGAUCUUGACAUUAUCUGGAUUUAUGAAUUUAAUGACCUGUUCAGCAUUUUCAAACGAUGAUGAAGAGAUAUAAAUUUCGGUAUAAUAGUACGCAUUUGUCCCGAGUCACGGGUGCAAAUUCAUUUUAUUAGUCGUAAUAUCGUGUGUGUGUGUGUGCAAAACGGAUUUUUAACAUUUUCUACUAAAGUUUUUUAAGGUCAGAGUUCAGAGCCGCUGUACGCGGUGAAAUUUAGGGUGUUUAUAUAAAACUGCAGUUUUUACAGUAAAAUAUAAUAUAACAUAUGUAAUAUUUACUUUGGUGUAAAUUAACGUUGUGGGGUGCGUUCGAACAACGGAAAUUCGGAAAAAUAUUCAUAUAUUUCCGUAUCACGCGUACCGUACAGUUCAUUACUUAAUUAACGUAUGUUAUACAGGCUAAUUGUUUUAUUACAUGUACCAGCGGUUAUAUUAGAUCUCAUUUACAAUGUUUUUAAAAUCAUAAUACCUUUAAUUCCGUAUACCACAUUAACGCAUAUUGACUUUUGAUUAAAAAAUCCGCGAUUAAUCGUCGCGUGGUUCGCGAUAAGAAAAUCGCGGCGAAGUGGCAAUGAUAAGAGGGAACUGCUUCAAAUUUGAUUAAAUCCAGUGGGGGAUAUAGAAUUAAUUUUUUUUGGGAGGGGCGGUUUAACAUUUUUCAUAUUAAAUUUGAACAAUGAACACUAAAUAUAAAAUACAGAUAAGAUUAUAAUCAAGUAUCAAUAUUAUCAACUAAUAUAAUAUUUGAUCUAACCGUAAGGACCGGGGCCCUCUCGGCCCCCCUUGAAUCCGCCACUGAUUAAAUCCUUAUCCAUUAAUUUCUCCCGAGUGUAUAAUAGCGUUUAUGAUUUCGGGACUGUACAUAGAAAAUAAGCUAUUUAUAUUGAUCAUUUCAUGGAGUCACUAUAUUAAAUAAAUACUUUAUCAGGUCCAUCAUCCUGGCACUUGCACAUUGGAGUUUUAAAACCAAACCAACGCCAUUAUUUAGUAAGAAAUUUGUAAUAAUUUGUAACCUGUGUUUCAGAAUUUGUAACCCCUCCCACACUCGAGAAAAACACUUUUUUAUUUUCCGGGUGUUGGAACCACGGUCGUCCUGGCACCCGCAUCGUUUUUUGGAUUGAUUUAGAUACUUAAUUUAGUAUCUGAAGCCGUGGCUAAAUGUAACUGAAUACUAUCAGGCGUUAGUCGUCGUUUGGUAGUUUGUUAAGGACAAAAACGACAUAAAAUAUUAGUAUACGCAGUGUCUUUGAGGUCUAUUUACACACAGCAGUGACGUUACAGUACCGUGACAGUGUCUUAACCGUUCUGGGAUUUCACCGGCCGUGAUAUUUAAAACGGUCAGUGUUUCAUCCGUCAUUCGCGUCGCGUCGUUUCACACGACCUUCACUUAUACUCAAUAUCUAAUGUACUCGUACUCGCCGUCAUUGUAGCAAAGAUGGCUAUGGUUUCGGAAAGUUAAUUAUUAAUGAUUACUUUGGUUUUGGAUGAAUAAUAAGAAAAAGACGAUUAUGGGUACAUCCGGCAUGGAAGAAUAGAUCAACAGAAGAGGAAUGUUCCACUUUGUAUAAAAAAAAAAUAGACGAUGGAACGAAGUUUUUUGAAUAUUUUAGAAUGUCUGAAAAUGCAUUCAAUAAAUGUAGUGUCCGUGUAUUUAUGUGACAAAUCAUAUAAUACGGUAUAUUUCCGCACAAAUUCAAUAAGUUUCUCUUAAACUAAGGUUACAAAUUACUAUAAAUUCCUUACUGAAAAAUGGCGUUGGUUUGGUUUCAAUCGGACAAGUUUAAGACGAUGCGGGUGUCAGUAUGACGUCGUUCCAGCACCCGAAAAAUAAAAAAGUGUUGUUCUCGGGUUUGGGAGGGGUUAUAAAUUAUAACAAAUUCCUUAUCAAAUAAUGGCGUUGGUUUGGUUUUAAAAUUCCAAAGUGCGGGUGCCAGAUGACGGACCUCACUUUAUCAUAAGAGUCAACACGCCGUCUGGUGGAAUAACGCGGUGUCCAAAUGAUCAACGUUGUCACGUGGUUUUUCUCGGACUAGCUUUUUAGAUUUACGCUUAGGGCACUAAUUUUGUUGGAGCUAUAACAGGUUUGGACCAAUAUAAUUGUUUUAUUUCGGAUAUUGAUAGUUGUCAGAAAAUCUGCAAGAGGCUAUACAGUAUUUCACAGUUGCAAACUGUUCACUUUCAAAAUAUUAUAAUACCAUAAUUAUUUUGUAAUACGAUUUUUGUACAUUAUCGACUUUUAUACGUCGAAAUGUGACCUACCGAUGUGAUUUUUCCCAUUUCCUCCUCUUUUCUUUAUUUUCACCAGGUGUGUUUUUUCAACGACUAAAAAAGCUUUAGGUUUUAAUUAACUACGAGUUUAUUGGACGUGGUUAGGUUAGGUUAGGUUACGCGGCGAUUUUUUUUUUUCAAAGUCUUAGCAUUGCCGCAAAAUCGCUGUGGCUACAAUUCCUUAAUAAUCUGUCAACUAGGUAGACCUUGUUUCAUUUUAAAUUAAUUAGUAAUCAUUUUAUCGUUCGUAUUUUUUAGACCGAUAAGAACAAUUUUAUUGAAAGGGUAGCAAUAAAUGGCCCAUUUUAAAUUAUUAUUAUUAUACACCUGCGCGGCCACCGAAAACCAAAAACCCACCUUACUAACCCACACGUCUCGAGCGAGUGGACCAGCAACAGCUACGAUAGUAUAAUAAUACGAAAAAUAAUGACAAUUCAACAAUCGUCCGGAGACGACGCAACGGCCCGGUUGCGUCUUUCGGCCUUGGUCGCGUGAAUCGAAAAGCUUUUUUUUUUCUUCUUCUACAUUUGUUUGUUGUCUGUCAAUAUUGAUAGAAUACAGGUACACAGUAUAUACACACAUAAUGCGUGUACGAGUGGGUACUUGGGAAGAGUGUGCGUGGGGACCUCCACGAGGAAAUAAUAAUACUGUGUUUGCUCUCUCGUGAUUGCUGGGUAUUACAUAAAAAAAAAAAAAAAAAAAAAAAAAAAAAAUAAUAAUAAUAACAAUAUUAUUUUAAUACCUCGUCACAGCUACAUAGGAUUUUACCACUUGAAUCCGGUAAUCGUCGUGGUGGCGUAUAUAUAUUACGUACAACCGUUUGUAAUUAUAAUAUAUGAUUAUUGUUCACGAGUGUUCCGCGAUGUAUUGUAUUUUUGCAUACUAUAACAUAAACACUCCCGCUAUACAUUAUAAUGCCCGUAUAAUAUUGUAAUAUAUCGCGCUGACAAUAAAUACUAUUGUAUGGCGUAUUGGAGAUUAAAAUAUUAUUCGGGGGUAUAGUACAAUUUAAUACGACGUUGUCCAUGUCGGUUGUCUGGUGCAGUCUGCGUAAUAUAAUAACGAGUGCCCAUCAUGCUAUGGGAUUUCCGGUCGAAAUGCUCGCCGGAGCGUUGUGGCCAGUGGCGUUAUUUCGAUAUCUAGUAGACUGCGGCAAACCCGCGGAAUUCGCUGAUUGGCGAUUGGAAAGUUAUUGCCGAAAAAAAAAAAAAAAUGACAUAUUUUUACAAUCGCUCGCUUAUUGCCCUUUGCAUUCAACAAGUAUUGUAGAUAUUUUUACUUUUAAAGAAACUGAUAUCAACACUUAUUUUUGAGGUGUUUAUAUUUUAUGUUUUUACUUUUUUAAGUUAAAUAAAUCGUUCAAUUUUUGGUCGGAAAAAAAGAAAAUCGACAAUUUGAUCACGCAUUACUUAUCCGUGAGGGCGUGCAAACAAAAGGUAUAAGAACAAUUUUUCGACAUUUUGGAAAUUUACCCAGACUCAAAAGCAUGCAGACAAUCCGCCAAAUGCAUCUAACACAUUUUCAAGAAGGCCUUGGGCCGUAGUCGCAAUUUAAAUUUUUGACUCUUGGAAUAUUUUUCGUGUGAUAUGACCAGUAAAAUGUUUGUUUGAGUAAAAAACGUUAGGUUAGAUGUUAAGGUCAAAUUUUAAAAUUUUCAGUUGGCAGUGGUUGAUUAUCGGGGGAAAUUAUAUUUAGUUUUCAUUUAUAUUUUUGUUUAUACUGUUAAAAUGUUUUGGUAUUUUAAGCGCACCGGAAUACAGUUGUUCGAGUUAUAUUAUAUUAGUAUCGAAUUCUAUGUUUGAAACAAAAAAAAAAAACAAAUGAAAUAAAAUCGGAAUAUUCGGACGAUAAUAUUGCUAGAGACGUAUACAAAGCGUCGGUCGUGAAAAUAGAAUAUAUAAGCGUCCGCAAGAAUCAGAAACAGCGAUGACUUGAGGAAUACGAGAAUAUCGUGCGUUGAAAUUGCCCCGCGUCUACAUAAUAUAAUAAGAGACGCUGAACUAUACCAUUUGAACGGAGAAUGUGUUCGGUAACAGGUUUUAAAAUAAAAAAAAAAAAGAAAGGGAAAGGAGAGAGAGAAAACCUAUUUGCGUGCCUUCUAUAAUCGUGUGUAUUGGGUAAUAUUUCGUGAAGGUCAACUCGUAAUGUAAAACGGAAUUUACUGAUGCAUCUCCGGUGCACCGGUUUUUCAUAUCCGAAAAGGGCCAUUAGCAUUAUGCGUCAACAACACGCGCGAGACUAUAUAAUAAAGAAGUUCGGUUUGGUCGAAUAUAUUUAUAUAUUUUUUUUUUUUGGUAUCGAAACUGGUAUGUUAUUAUCCGGGCUUAAAUUUUAGUCCAAAAAAAAAAAAGAAAAAGUAGUUAUAAUAAUAUAAUAUGAGUACCAUCUGAAAGCUAGCCCGUAUACUAUUAUUGUUUCCUCCGCCCGACUAACUGCAGGAGAAAUAUUUUUAUUAUAAUUAUAUAUACCUACGAUAUUUAACGAGAAAAAAUAAAACAUACGCCACAUUAUGAAGUUAUACGAACGUACUUGGGGAAUAAUAACUAAUCGAAUGUUAAUAUCAAUUAUGUUAUCACUUUUCCUAACUCUUCUUCUAAUUUGGCUAUUGCCUUUUUUAAACUAAGAUUAAUAAUUGAUUUAUUGUAACAUUAUGGUUUUUAAUUCUCGUGUACAAGUACAUCAAACGCCCGAGUUGUAAUGAAAACUACAAACGAAUCAAUAAUAUUGAAUGUUAGAUACUUGUACCUACCUGUACUAUAUUUUGAUAUUGAUACGUACAAUUAUUGAAACAAAACAGUACGCUGGACACAAUUAUUGCUUAAGGCAAAAUCCACUUUUACUGAUCUUAAUAACAGAACCCGAAUGGAAAGAUACUGAAUUGGAUGUUUUUAGGAUCUAAAAAAAAGAUAAAAAUAUUCAAACGGAGGAUCAGAUUGAAAAUUAUGAGCAGCUGAUUGGGAGAACUAGCGGUCGAGAACCUCAAGAAGAAGAUAGAAAAUUAUAAAAUCCUUAAGUUUAAAGUGAUAUUUUUUGAUAGAUACUAUCAUGAUUAAUAUCAUUGAAAUGCACUUGGGAAAUGGAACCCUAAAUAUUAGUAUUAAUCAUUUAGUUUUCAGAAGAUUGAGCUUGGUGUCAUAGUGAAGCUAUUUCGCAUUUAAUCUAUCGAUAAUAUUAUAAAUAAAUACGAUACAUACUUUUGGUUUCCUAUACGGUUUACAGGUUCAAUAUUUAAUAUUUAAACAUCCUGUUUACAAUAAACACAUGUAUGUUAGGUAAGCCAUAAAAAAAAAAAAUGUGAUAUAAUUGAUAAUUGUUUGUGAUAUGAGCAAAUAGUAAUGCAAAACACUAGUCAUUUGAUUUAAUACUUAUAAACGAUUAACGAGUGUUAAUACAUCGAGUGUUACAUUAUGAUGCUUCCCCUUUGUAUGAUUUCCUUGAGUGUAUAUUUGUGUACAAAUAACAUACCUACUGUAUAGUAAAAUACAGUCGAAUCUCAUCAAUCUGGACUAAUUGGGGCUAUAGAUUGUCCGAAUUAACGAAAGUCCGGAUUAGACAAAAUAACCAAAAACCGUGUAUUUUUUUUUCAUUUAAAAUUGUACCGGUUUCAACAAUUAAAACACACUGUGUAUGUAUUAAAAAUUGAAGUAUAUGAAUUAUAAUAUAGGUAAUUCAUAAAUAAUCUCGAUAACAUGCAUUCAUGGGAAAUUCGUAGAUUUCAUUUUCAUUUUUAUUUUGAUCUGCGGCACAAACUGCAUAUAGUUUUCGUUCUUAAACGGUUGUCCGUAGUAGGCGCAGUCCAGUUUUAUGGGGUCCGGAUUAACGAGGUUCUAUUGUAUUAGUAAAUUUCCGCGUAUUUAUACAAAACUAUGAGGUUUUAAUUAAUCGUUUGGAUACAAUUUCAAAAGUUUUAAACGUUUCUUUAGGAUUAGCUAGCAAAUAUUUUAAGUCUAAAACGUUUGAACGUGGAAUAAACGAUGCCACUGCCCUGUACCAUUUUAUCAGUUUUUAGAAGAAAUCAGAGUGAAUAAUAAUAUGAGAAACAUCAUACUUACGUAUAAUGUAAUAUUACGAUGUAACGAUACUACGUAUAAUAUGAUAGAAGCCGAACAAAGGAAAACGUUUUGGCGGCAAAGAGCCUGAAUAAGCUCACGCGAAUUUGAAACACAGGAAACAUUAUCGCUAUCUAAGAAAAAAAAAAAAAAUGAAUCCUAAAAUGUAGAUGUUUAAUUUUCGUCGUCUAUGUACGGGUACUCACACUUGAACUUUGGACAUUGAAUAAGAAAACCGUAUACAUUUUUUUUUAUCGACUUUUGAGUUUCCUAUAAGUGAUACCACAACUGACACGGACAAAACAAAUCGAAUUCAACAUGGUUGUCCCCGGUAACCUACAUAAACAUAAAUAUUAAUUUAGUUUUUACGGUCACGGGCAACGUAUUGUGAUGGGGCGGCUCUGCUAGUAUUUUUUUUUAGUAAAGUAACAAUAUUAUUAUUGUGCAAUACGCUUAAUAAGUAUUUAUGUAAUGUGUGAAAAAUCGAUUUUUUUUUUUAAUGUUUUUUAAUUUUUUUUUAAUAGCUAGAUUAUAGUUGUAUUAUUAAAUUCGGAAGAAUUCGUUAUUUAACGCUGCCCGUAUGUUAAUUUUGUUAUAUAUGUUGAAAGAACAAGUGGUUGGUUCUAUAAUUUCAGUAAAAUUAUGUGACUAGUUGUGCAGCAUGCAAGUGUAACUGGUUAUAACUUCUUUAAAUCUGAACUUGAAUUGUGCAUACGAUUUCCGAAUACCGUUUCGUGAGUCGAUUUACGAGUGAUAAAUCGUUUUAAAAUUAUUUUACAUGCAUAUCAAUCGUAAUUUAUUUGGAUUUUUUUAACUUUAUUUGAUGCAAUGUUUGAAAACAUAAUUAACUAUUAUAUGAUUUAUUAUUGAUUUGUAUAACAAAAAAACAAUUCGAAAAAAACGACGGCGGUUAGGUACUCCAGUUUUUCCGACUUUUUUCUUGAUUUUUUCCCAUUAUUAGGAAACAUAUGAGAUGUUUAAAGAAUACCAUUCACAACGCAAUGACUAUGAUAGAUCCGAUAUGCUAUAAGAAAGCUCCUAUUUGUAGUUUUUGAUUGGACCGAGUCUUCUGUUCGUAAAACUAGUUUACAGACGGGAGAAAUACACAGUGAAUACGAAUUCAAAUUAUUUAUAGAGGUUAUUGGUUUUGUGAAUACCAGUACUCUAAUUGGGGAGGAGAAGGAGAGGUCAGGUGAACAGAGCUCUUCUACUAUUAUUUUGUUUUAAUAUAAUCAUUUCUAUUGGGACGGUAUGUCUGCUUUUGCAAAUAAUGAUAUUUUAAAAAAAAACACGUAUUAUCAUCUCGGAUACAUUCAAUAUUGAAAACAUUUGCUUACAAUGUAAUAUUAUAGUACCUACUAAAUUCUAAAAUAGUCAGUAUAAUACACUUCUCGUUCAGUUUGAAAUAAUUACCAUUAUUCUAUUUUCUACAUUGCACUUUGCCAUGUGUAAUAAUAAUAAAGUAAGUAAUUUAACCAAAAUCUAAACAUCGUAUUUUCAUUUUUACGAAAAAAAAAAAAAAAAAAAUAACAAUUUAAUAAAAAUAAAUGUCAACAUAUUUUGAUACAAACAAAUGGUAGUAUAAUACAUAAAAUAAAUCAUUAUGAAAACAAAAACGUAGUCUGCAGGGGUAUCAUUGGACGCGGUUUUUUUUUUCUUUUUUAGAUGAUUAAUUAUUGGAACUAUGUUGGAAAAGUGACGAAAGGUGGCUCCCCCACCGGUUAAGUUGAGUUUCAUAAAAUUUCAAUGGAUGCACAAUUUUUCAUUAAAUCAAAUUGUUUCUCUUUUUUUUUUAUUUUUCCAAUUCGAACACUGGUGGAUACUGUCGGCUGAAGUUACGGUAUUUAAACAAUUUUCUAAAAUAUCGAAAGAUACUUAUUUAUUAUUAAACAUUGAGUAAAAGCCGCACCGUCUUUUUUUUUUAUUUGAAAAUUGAUAUUUGACUUGCGUCAUAAACGACGUGAAAUAUAAGUAAAUACGUGCAUAUAGAAAUAUACGGUCACGAGAAUUCGUGAAUUGCAGUACGUAUGUUUACAUAUAAAAUUAGGUCCUAGGUGUUUGCCUACACUUAAAUACCAUUUCUUCGUCAAACACAAGACGUCGCAUAUUAUUAUCAGUGUCGGCGGUGGUGGGGCGGCGAUAUAUCCGCGCGGACUCUGCUGGAUCGCCGAAAAAUACAAUGAAAAAUUAUUAUAGUCGGCGCAGAAGACGGCGAGAAGGCAACUGGCACAGUCCUCGAAUAGGAUUGUACUUCACGUGUUAUAUUAUUUUUGGGUAAGUAAUAGUCAUUUUUAUAUUCUGCGACGUUUUCGGUGUUUUGUGACGCAUAUAAUAUUAUAAAAGUUUAGAAGCUCUCGCAGAGUGAUAAAAAUAACGUAAUAUAGGUAAAGUCAGUGUUAAUGAUGGGAUUAUAUUUUUUUUAAAUAAAUUUAUAAGACUUUCGAAACGUUUUAAAAAGUGCAGACUAAAUGCAUUUCUAAUUAAAUAAUAUAAUACGAAUAUUUUUUUAACUUCCUUGUAAUUUUCUUAAUAAUGGUAAAAGGAUGAAAUAGUUGAGAAACCAGGAAUUUUCAUUACAUUUUAUUCAAUAUUGAUUUUUGUUUUAAACGAUUGGGUUUUAGAUUUUAAGCGAAGUAAGGAAUGUGUUAGUUUUAUAAUGAUGUUUAUUAUUGUUAUUUUUUUAUUUAUAUGGGGAAAUUUACUAAAAUAAUGUUUUUGUUAUUUUUAAUUUUGUUUUUUUGUUGUAAUUAGACUUGAAAUUUAAACAGAGAUCUCAUAUUUGCCUUUUUUGGUAAAAAUUUCAAAACAUUUGAGCCAUUUUUAAGCUAUUUAUAGACAUUUUAAUUUUGCGAGUUUUUGACAUGAUAUUUAUUCCGUAGUUAUUUUGUGGUUACAAUUAUUAGACCAAAUAGAAAUGCCUGAACAUUUAAUAGGGCGUUCAUUAUAAGUUAUACUUAGUAGGUAAGAAGAAAAAGUUGAGUUUAGUAUUUUUUUUUUUAUAAGAACUUUAAUAUCAAAUUUUGACGAAAAUCAUAAAUAUUACGGUCUUUUAAAACAUAUGUAACCGAACUCCGCUCAAAAUCAUUUUUCAUUAGCAAUAAUUAAUCUUAGCAUAAAAAAAAUGCAUUAAAGUCCCCUCUUCAUCCUACCUUCUCAACUUCUCACCUACAACAGUGGCCCACCCAUCGUGUGAAAUAUGUCCGUCUUUUUUAACUGUAGUUCAAUAAGAAAGCACUUAACAUUUUCACUGAAAACUCGUUUAUGAACUUGUUUAGACUAAUUAUUUUAAAUUUACGUGUCCCUUUUCACGUGCUUGAUUAUUUGAGUAAUAUAGGUAUACUCUAGAUCUUCUUUUUUCUAUGCAUGCUUCAAGAUCUCUUUAGAUUAAUGUUUAAGCUUUUAAGUCUUUUAGAGAAUGUCCUAUCAUAGGUAUUAAUUGGCAUAUUAUCUAAAUUAUGUAUAGAGAGUCUUAUAAUAUUCGUUUCAACAAAAUUGCAUUUAAAAAAGUCUAUGUUAUAAUUAUACCCAACAAAAACAAAUAUAUCAUUAUUUUGGUUCUUGUCUAUAUUUGAGAAGUUUUAUCCUCCAAUAACAUAAUUGAAUUGACUCAGAAGAUCAUGCCAGGUAUUAGUAGAAUUAUAUAGAUUUUUAGAUUCUGAGUGAAACGAAGAUAGUUUUACAAAGAUGUUUAUUUUUUUUUUAUCUGUGCGCAACUUUUCUACCAAAAGUCUUGCUCCGAUUUUUAAGUAUAGCACCUUUUUUGAAAGAAAAUCGGUGUGGUGAAAUAUUCUAUGGAGGUAAUUUUUUGGUUUUUUAAAGAAUUUUCUCUUCAAAUUUGGAAAACCGAAAAAAACUAGAGGAAAAACAGGAAAAUAUAAGAAAUGUAGGUAUUAGUUAAAAUUUAUUACGGCCUUCUUUUUACCUGUGAACAACUCUUCUAUCAGCAAUUUUGAUUAGAUUUAUAAUGAGAGCAAUUUUUCUGAAAGGAAAUUCGACUGGAAGGUACUUUAGAGAGGUCGUUUUUCGAUUUUAUCAGGAGUUUUCCUGAAGAAAACCGGGGAAAACUUGGAAAAACAUGGAAAAACCAGGAAAACGUAGGAAAACUCGGAAAAUUGGUACAAUAUUAAAUAAAUAUAUAAAGAAAAUUUGUAAAGCCUAUUUAAUUAUUUUACUAUAAUAUGGCAUAUAUAUUGUUGAACAAGGAUCACUAUUAACUGAACUUUGCUCAAAAUCGUUUUUUCCUUAGCAAUGGUUUAUUGUUGCUUACAGGUAUACAUUAAAUUACCUAGUGGAUGCACUCGUCUCCAUUAUCCUAGGACGUCUUUUUUACCAUUUAGAUCAUUUUCUAAAAAGACAGUUAGUUCAUUAAAAUUAGAGUUCACAUUCCUAAUAUUACAAUACAGUAUAUUUAUAAACUAAAUAUUUAUAUUGUUAUUAAUAUGCAAAACAUUUCGUAAAAUAUUUAAAAUAGUUUGCUUUGUAACUAAAGCAUUAAGGCAUCUAUUAAUAUUUAAAAAGUUGUCCAUUUAUAACUGUGAAAGAAAAAUGAACAAAUAAAAACAACAAGCAUUUCCUUAUAGUGAGUAGGUAUCAUCAUCUAAUCUAAGGAAUUACUAAUGUAUUUUUGUAAGCAGUUUAAAUAAAUAAGUUAAAAAAAUUUCAAAUAUAGGUUAUAAUUUACCCUAAUUUCUAAAUUAGGGUAAAUUAUAAAGAGUACUCGUCAUUUAGUUUAAAUGCUUUGGUAUUUUAAUUUUUUUUUACAACUUAACCUAAUCGAACAAACCUAUAGGUAAACACUUAUCUUACUUUUUUUUUAAGGGGCUGAUUUUCCAAAUUUUCUCUGAUUUCAUAAAACUCAAAAAUUAUUUUAUACUUUUAAAUGGCCAUCUUAAUGCUUAACUUUUCCCACUAAUCUUUUGUCCAUUGUCUAGAGGGAAAGUCGCUUUUACGGACGAAUUUUACUUUACGGGAACCUAUUGAGAUAACUCAUUACAAAUGUAAUAUUUGUCUUGUACUUGUUUUGUAACAUUUAUUAUGCAUUUACUGAUAAAUAACAUUUUCUUGCGCACAUUGAACUCCGAUGUUUUGUUUGAUGAAACUUUAAAUUAGUUCUUUUUGACAAAAGACAUAUUAUAAGGUUUAAGAUUAGAUCAUUUAAAACGGAGCACAAUGAAAAUAUGGGAGAAAAUUUUCUUGGCAUUUUAAAAAAAAAUAAAUAAAAUAAUAGUAUUAAUAAUAAUCGUCAAAAUCAGACAAUUUUAUGAGGCAUGAGAGGUAUUACGUUUUUGAACCAAAAAACGCUCUGGCUCCGAGUUCCUUAGUUAAUUAACUUUGUAAUCUUGCAUAGGUAAUACGUCUUAAAAAUAAAUUGAUUUCUUAAUUUUUUUUUACUAAAUUUUUUAUAACACUAUAGACUAUAGAAAAAUGAUAUAAAAAAAAAAACGAGGUUGGCAAUAUAUUAAUGUAUUAUUCCUAUUCCCGUGAAAGUCAUAAAAACAGUUGUGUCCCUUCCCUCUUUUAAAUGGAUAUUAGAUCGGCACAAAAGUAUUAUCAUAUAAAGGCGACCAUUUAAAUAUUUGAAACAUUUUGAAAAAUCGGCACCGGAUUCCCUGAUAACAUAAUAAAGAUAUCAACUGAUAUAGUCAAACUUACAGUAGGUAACAUAAACUAUUCUUCUGGUAUUUAUAAAGAUAAAAAUAUUAAAAAAAAAAAAAAAAAAACGAACGAUUUUGUCUUCUAAAUAGGACAAUGUGCAAAUACUUGCCCGAUAAACAAUGUCAAAAACGGAAAAUGUUUUCGAUAUUUCGUUUUUAUAAUUAUAAAAAUAUUUAUGCACGUGACAACCGAAUUUAUAAAAUUAAUGUCGAUAACGCUGUAACCGUACAUUGUUACUAUACAGUAACGAGUAACUGUUCUCUUUUAAUUUUAUAAUAAUACAGUUUUUUGAUUUUCUCGUUUGUCGUGCCUCUAUAUUAUAAAAUAUAAUUAUAAAAACAGGUGCGUUUCGUUCGGUAUGCUUGCGAUAAUAAUAUAAUUGCUACGGUGCUGAGUCGAUGUAAAAUGGACAAAAUAACAUUAUUAUUAUUAUUUUACCGCCAUCUAAAUAUUGUGAAAUCGGCAUGUUCGCGAAUUAUGAUAAAAUAUAAUAUUGAAAUGUCGUCGUUGCAAUAUGCAAUAUUAUUGUAAUAUUAUAUUCGUCGUCGACCGUUCUGACGGUUUUCUAGUUAUUGUUUUUUUUUUUCGACGGUCGGUACUCUACACCACCGUCGUUUGACAAAUUAUACAUUAUUUCUCAAAAAUGAUUUUUAGUAUAACACCCACCUCCGGUCCCUCUCCUCUUUCUCUCAUCAUACGCUACUGAAAUCGAUAAAUGAGGUGUACAGUUUUAAAGGAUAUACGUUCACGAAUCGUUAAUAUACAAUAAUUAUUGCCCAUUGUAUUAGGCACUCCGUUUUUGGCAUCCGUUAGUUUUCAUAACAUAUUGUUCAUACUUUAAAAAUACGAAAUAUUCGCUCGUGGACCCACUAAAUAUAAAAUAUUGGUGGUAUAUUUAAGAGUAGAAGAUCAGGAAGAUACGAGUACAUCUCUUUCUUGACCCUUGUUUUUUAUUAUUUCUUAUUAAUUAAUACGAAUUCUUAUUUUUAGAUUCUGAGUGGAGCGAAAAAUGUAUUGGUUUUACAAUGAUGUUUAUUUUUUUUUUUUAGUGAACAAUUUUGCUCCAAUUUUCAAUUAUAGCACUUUUUCUGAAAGAAAAUGUGGCAGAACUGGUACUAUAAGAAGGUCAUUUUAUGAUUUUCUAAUUAGUUUUCGCUAUAAAUGGUAAAAACCGAGGAAAAACACGGAAAAACGUAUGAAGAACGGGAAAUGGGUACAAUAUUAAACAAAUAUUACUAAAAAAAAUAUAUGAUGCAUAUUAUGUAAUUAUUUUACCAUAAUAUGACAUAUAUACUGAUGACAAAGCAACAAUAUCAACCAAAUUCCAUUCAGAAUCAUUUUUCGUGAACAAUGGUUCAUCGUUGUUUACAUAUAUACAUUCAAUUUCCCCUCUACUAUACCUUUCCAACUUCUCACCUACAGCAGUGGCCCACCCACGUGUGAAGUAGGUCCGUCUUUUUACAGCUUUGGUACACGUUAUACAAUAUAACAUAAUGUAUGACCCAAUGCUUGGAAAUUUAAUAUCUCCUUCCUUGGCAAAUCCUACAAACACCACUGUAAAAUAUUAUAAAUGACGCGAUUGGGAUUCAUUUUCAUAAUAUGGGAACGUUAUGGGAGGUUAUGCAUUUUAAACAAAUUUUCUCGACAGAUAUGUAUUGCGGGGGUGGGAGAGGUUACGAGUCAUAUAUCUAUUAGUAAAUGAACAAAGAGCUGGUGAAGUGUAUCGACCCAUAGUUUAUGUCUGAAAUCACAAUCGAAAUUGUGCAACUACGUCGCGUCAUAUAGCGCUAGAUUUGUAGAAAAAAAAAAUCGUACAAUUCCCAAAUCUCACCUAAUUUUACGUCAUUGAAUUUAUUGUUAACGUUAAAACAUCCAAAGAUUUCAAAACGUUCUGAAGAUCAACUUAUAAUAAAAAUAGAAACCCUCGGUGUAAGGAACAUUUAAUUUUGUAUUGCAACCAUUUACAACGUAAUUACACCCUGUAGGUUAAAGGGAUGGCCAUUAAACAUUUUCGAAAAUCGUAGGCGUUCUAAAUGGCCUUUUUACAUUUACAAAUUUCAAUUGUUGAUAAAAUCGAUAUUAUGAAGGGGUGUAGGGUGUAUCUUCUUCAAUUAGUAUUGAUCGUUUUUUUCCAUCCAUAUCCUACCAUCCUACUCUAGUACAAUAAAUGAAGGAGGCACGGAUUCUGUGCCCCAUCCCUUUGUUUACGGACACUGUUUAAUGUGUAAUUUGUAGACCUUCCCCAUUGAGAAAUCCUGGUUAUUUCAGUGCACAAUGAAAUUUCGACUUUUGACUUAUACGACUUAAUGUAGAUAUUUUUAUUUGUAUAUUUUCGUGGGCGGCUAAGAGAAAUGAAGAAAAACUGUCGCUUAUUAUUCGGAUUAAAUCAACUGACGAUGUUUUACAAACAUUGAAAUGGAUUAUAUGCAAUAAUAUCGGGGAAACAAUACAUUCGUAACAUACAAGGCAAUUUGUCGCGUCCCACUUUUUUUCGCGUACGUAUUCGAAUUUCGUAUAGUGUUACGCGUCGUUCCGAUUGUUUUUCGCAAAACCCGUCGGCCACGCUCAUUAUCGAGAUAAAUUUCACAUGGUUAACAAUAUAAUAAUGUUCGAUUUCUAUAAUAUCAUACCGAACGACCGACCGACCGACGGCGACGUCGCCGAAACCUUUUCAACCGGACACCGGAGCGCUAGAAUAAAAAAAAAAAAAUCGCUCGAGUUUCUUUUAAUGCAGUUACGUCAAUGACGCGGGCCACCGUUAUCAUUAUAAUAUAAAAUAUAGUUUGUGGUAUAUAUAUAUAUAUAUAUAUAUUAUUAUCGUAUACGACCGUCACACGUUAAUGUGAUUAUAUCAGACUAAUGUCGUAUAGAAGAGUGUUUCAUAACAAACGAUAUUGUACGUGUUAUAUUGUCUACAGUCUGUUGUUGUUUUUUUUUUUUUUAUACAGUUUUUCUUUUGUAGCAGUGCGUUUUACGCAAUAUAUUAUCCUCCCGCCGCGUUUCGUGGUCGGGACAAUCCAAUUGGCUCCCGCAUACAGGUAGUCAAUAUUUCACCCUUAAAGUGUACGGUCGAAUUGGUUCUCAAAAAUUCGCUGUUAGAUUGGUUUCAUACACCUUUCUUUUUUACAAAUAUAUUGGUUACCAAAAUGUUAUUAAUUAUCUAUUUGUAAGUUUAGUACGAAAAUCGGUUUCCACGACCACGCGUACGUGCAUUAUUAGCAUAUCCACAUCGUUAUAAUUCGUUUCCGAUGAAUUUUAAAAAAUAUUGAAUUUUUAUUGAUUAAUUUCCCCUCUUCGCUUUGCAUUGUUUCGACCGAGUGCAUUUUAUACACUCAACAGCGCAUUUACUAAAAUAUGACUGCCGUAGUCGUCGAAUAUCAAUAACAAAACAAAUCUUGUUUAGAUAACGUAUAGAGAAUAGAAACCAUCAAUUAUCAAUAACGUAGUUUUAUAGUAGAUUACGGCGAUCAGUAUGAUAAGACUCGAUAGACAAUGAUAAUAUAAUAUAAUAUAAAAUAGUAUAGACGGAAUUAUAGCACCGGACUACUGAGUGUACAGUGCGAAUGAUGUGAAACAGUGGAACCGACGACAUCGAAAGCUGACAAAAAAGCACCUUUUUUUUUUAUCGUAUUCGUAUAAUGUAAUCGGUAGAGAAGUUCAUGCUUCAAUUGUAACCAGUGAAUAUAUUAGUAAGUGGAGUUGUAUAUUUGAUGGAUAUAAAUCGCCGUAGUGAUUUACCCGAGAGAAUGGAGGUGACAGGCCAAUAAACAAGGAAUUAAAUGCAUUUAGCUUAAAAAGAGUAAUAACUCAUAAAAAAAAAAAAAAUACUAAUAAAGAGGCAUACAAUAAACGCAUUUUAAAUUUCUUAACAGCACUGAAAUACAGUAUUAAAAAUCGAAUUGACACGUAUAUAGAGAGAGCAAAAGCGGUACGACUGUGCGAGGAAUAUAAAAAUAAUAAUUCAAAUAAAUAUAAAUAUAUAUAAUAAUUAUAAGUAUAAAUAAUUUUAUACAUGUUAUGUGAGCAUACCAUGUAUUCCCCCAAAAUUGCACAUCGUACCCAAAAAGAUACGGAUUUUCCGUUCAGUGGUUUUUAGAUUCUGAGUAAAACGAAAAAGCUUAUGGUUUUACAAAGAUGUUUAUUGUUUUUUUAUUCUGUGGACAACUUUUCCACCAGCAAUUUUGCUCCAGCUUAUAAUGAUAGUAAUUUUUCUAAAAGAAAAUUUCACCGAAAAGGUACUUUAGAAAGGCCAUUUUUUGAUUUUCUCCGGAGUUUUCUCAGUAAACUUGAAAAACUGGGAAAAACAUGGGAAAACCGGGGAAAUCGGUACAACAUUAAACAAAUAUUAUUUAAGAAAAAAAAUAGAGCCUAUUUAAUUACUUUAAUAUUAUAUGGCAUAUAAACUGUUGACAAAGCAUCAUUAUCAAUUGAACUCCGCUCAGAAUCGUUUUUUCAUAAACAAUGAUUAAUUGUUGUGUACAGAUAUAAAAUAAAUUCCCGUUUGUAUCCAACCUUCCCAACAUCCCACCUAUACCAGUGGCUGCAUCCGUCUCCAUUAUCUUACAAUUUUGUUUUAAACAUUUCUCUAAAACUACCCAAUAAUUUUUCGAAACAAAACCUUUCAAAACCGAUAUUUAUACUGGAUGAUACGCCGCUGGUUAGAGGAAUUUUAAAAUUUUGAACACAAGCGGAAGUCCAGUGACAUUUUUAAGCGGGUUUUUUAAUUUUAAUUUCCAUAUAGGUUCUUACGCUUGAAUUUCACACUUGUUUUUUUCAUUUUUGUCGAUUACAGAAUUGUUUUUCGUUUUUCGUUUUAUUAUUCAUUAUUUAGUUUAAACUAUAUCUAUACACGAUAUACACCAUAUAUUUCUAUAAUAAUAAUAAUGAUUGGUGUUGUUAAUUUUUGAUUUUUUCAGUCAGGCCCGUAACCAUGGUUCAGACGGGCGCUGAGACGACGACCGUGACGGAGGCCGACAUGUCGUGGCAAGAAAUGGAGCAGAUGAACGAAACAGUUAAGAAACAAGAGGGACGUAGCAAUGAUGACAAGGAACCCUCCCGAUUGCCCGAAAGCAAACAAGAAAUAAUAUGGACUAACGUCAUUAUCAUUGCGAUUCUCCACAUCUUGGCCGUUAGAGGAUUAUUGUUUUUACCCUAUGCGAAAUACCAAACCAUAAUUUUCGGUGAGUUUAUAGGUACUUAUAAUGGCUGGUAUUCGGUCUGCUUUGGCGGUCGGUCGAAUAACGAAAAAUCAUCAAAUAAAAAGAAACUAGGUCGAGUAUAUUAUAGAGAUGAUAAAAUCACCUAA
This 17729-nucleotide long non-coding RNA is filed under the name Cinara cedri. Lineage: Eukaryota; Metazoa; Arthropoda; Insecta; Hemiptera; Aphididae. The record is from RNAcentral.